This 463-nucleotide long non-coding RNA is filed under the name Vombatus ursinus (common wombat). RNAcentral's name for it is "lncRNA (ENSVURG00010012475.1)". Lineage: Eukaryota; Metazoa; Chordata; Mammalia; Diprotodontia; Vombatidae. The record is from RNAcentral.
UUACUUCUGGCUUUCCUCUGUCCAAGCGGCCAGCAAGUAUCGAUCGACUGUACUCAAGACUGUCCUGGCCCCCGGUGUAAGUUUUCUACCAUGGUCAGCACCCCGCUGGAGUAUUGGGGUGAAGCAAGGACUUUCCCCGAUUACCAUUCUGGGAAAGGAGGGGUGACAAACAACUGCUACCUUGAAGAGCGGGUGCCUGCCUAGCCCCAGACUUGCUUCCUGAGACAAGCAACUUUUAAUUUUCCACGUAUGGCCGAGGGGAUUGGGGCAGACCGAUUUCUAUCAGUUUUCCCACGUAGUGGAAGAGGAGAAAGAGAGCCAACAGUGUCAUCGUCCUCCUGCACGGUCGCCUUCAUUUACAUCAGGAGCUCUUCCCCUUUUUUUGUGUCAUGAAUGAGGUGAGCAGUCUGGUGAAACCUAUAGACCCCUUCUCAGAAUGUUUUUAAAUGCAUAAAUAUAGAUG